This 1346-nucleotide ribosomal RNA is filed under the name uncultured bacterium. Its description in RNAcentral is "partial 16S ribosomal RNA". It matches the Rfam family "Bacterial small subunit ribosomal RNA", at positions 28 to 1381 of the family's 1533-position model. The record is from RNAcentral.
GACGAACGCUGGCGGCGUGCUUAACACAUGCAAGUCGAACGGAAAGGCCCUGCUUUUGUGGGGUGCUCGAGUGGCGAACGGGUGAGUAACACGUGAGUAACCUGCCCUUGACUUUGGGAUAACUUCAGGAAACUGGGGCUAAUACCGGAUAGGAGCUCCUGCUGCAUGGUGGGGGUUGGAAAGUUUCGGCGGUUGGGGAUGGACUCGCGGCUUAUCAGCUUGUUGGUGGGGUAGUGGCUUACCAAGGCUUUGACGGGUAGCCGGCCUGAGAGGGUGACCGGCCACAUUGGGACUGAGAUACGGCCCAGACUCCUACGGGAGGCAGCAGUGGGGAAUAUUGCACAAUGGGCGGAAGCCUGAUGCAGCAACGCCGCGUGCGGGAUGACGGCCUUCGGGUUGUAAACCGCUUUCGCCUGUGACGAAGCGUGAGUGACGGUAAUGGGUAAAGAAGCACCGGCUAACUACGUGCCAGCAGCCGCGGUGAUACGUAGGGUGCGAGCGUUGUCCGGAUUUAUUGGGCGUAAAGGGCUCGUAGGUGGUUGAUCGCGUCGGAAGUGUAAUCUUGGGGCUUAACCCUGAGCGUGCUUUCGAUACGGGUUGACUUGAGGAAGGUAGGAGAGAAUGGAAUUCCUGGUGGAGCGGUGGAAUGCGCAGAUAUCAGGAGGAACACCAGUGGCGAAGGCGGUUCUCUGGGCCUUUCCUGACGCUGAGGAGCGAAAGCGUGGGGAGCGAACAGGCUUAGAUACCCUGGUAGUCCACGCUGUAAACGGUGGGUACUAGGUGUGGGGUCCAUUCCACGGGUUCCGUGCCGUAGCUAACGCUUUAAGUACCCCGCCUGGGGAGUACGGCCGCAAGGCUAAAACUCAAAGGAAUUGACGGGGCCCCGCACAAGCGGCGGAGCAUGCGGAUUAAUUCGAUGCAACGCGUAGAACCUUACCUGGGUUUGACAUGGAUCGGGAGUGCUCAGAGAUGGGUGUGCCUCUUUUGGGGUCGGUUCACAGGUGGUGCAUGCCUGUCGUCAGCUCGUGUCGUGAGAUGUUGGGUUAAGUCCCGCAACGAGCGCAACCCUUGUUCACUGUUGCCAGCACGUUAUGGUGGGGACUCAGUGGAGACCGCCGGGGUCAACUCGGAGGAAGGUGGGGAUGACGUCAAGUCAUCAUGCCCCUUAUGUCCAGGGCUUCACGCAUGCUACAAUGGCUGGUACAGAGAGUGGCGAGCCUGUGAGGGUGAGCGAAUCUCGGAAAGCCGGUCUCAGUUCGGAUUGGGGUCUGCAACUCGACCUCAUGAAGUCGGAGUCGCUAGUAAUCGCAGAUCAGCAACGCUGCGGUGAAUACGUUCCCGGGGCC